This 1167-nucleotide ribosomal RNA is filed under the name Triticum aestivum (bread wheat). RNAcentral describes it as "partial small subunit ribosomal RNA". Lineage: Eukaryota; Viridiplantae; Streptophyta; Magnoliopsida; Poales; Poaceae. The record is from RNAcentral.
AUGCGGCAUGGGCAUCUUGAGGAGGAAGUCCCCGCCGGCCGGCAUGAUGCUCCUCAGCGGCGGGAACGAUUUGAACAGCUCGUCCAGGGCGGGGAUGUCGGGGAUCUUAAGCCCGCCUUCGUAGAGCUUGUACAUGUCCUCAAAGUCGUCGAACUCGCGCGGCGAGACGGAGUCGAACUGCUGGCGGAGGAGGGGGAGGAUGCCGCCGGAGAUGGCCUUGAUGAGGUAGGCCGUGAAGUCGGCUUUCUUGACGUGGUUGAAGUUCUCGUCGCGGGGGACAUAGAACUGUUGGAGCACAGGCAAGACGUUCCUGCUCUCGCACGUGGGGUCGGUCACCAUGGGCUUCCUGCCGGUGCGGCCUCGGCGCGGGUAUGGGUACAAGCUGUCGGGGCCGCCGAGGGUGGGGCGAGGGUUCUUGUGGUCUGGAUCGCCGAGGUCGUUGUAGAGGUCGUAGCGGUAGACGCGGUCGUGCUCCUCAUAGGCGCCGUUCUUCUGCCUGGGGUCAUCCCCUCGCAGGAUCCGGAGCUCGUCCUCCCGGAACGGCUGCAACAGCAUCGGCAUCUCGCUUGGCAGGAUAUGGAUGGAUGCUCUUGGAUGUUCCUUACUGGGGUCGGCGACGGUGGAGCUGAUGAGCUGGCAGGUGACGCCUUUGGUGGUGACCUCGUCCCAGGUGUCGUGGCUGAGGGGUUGCUGCCAGUGGUUCAAGUCGAGGAGGUUCCUGCGCAUGAGCACCACCUUCCCCUUGAGCUGCGGCGGCGUCAUCCACCCGAACAUCUUCCUCACGCUCUCACUCCGCUCCUUGGCUGGCUAGUUGAUCGAUCUACUAGCGCUCAGGCUGCUUGCUUGCUUUGGGACGAGGAAGCUCACGAGUGCCCUUUUAUAGGAACCAGGGGUCGGAGGAGCGUGUGCCGGAGCUACCUCUGCGUGUUACACGCCUAUGGUUGCCGUCGUUCUCUACGUACCCUGGCAGGCCCGCGUCGUCUUCCUUCCCGGCGUCCGGUUCUCGCAGCGACGUGUGGCGCCGGCCGGCCUCCACCGGUCGCGCGUUAUCGCGUCGCUGCAUGCGGACGAUUCAGUCGAUGCCAUGCAAAUAACCCAUGUGAAUUUGCAUGUGCGUAUGUGUGUACAUGGAAGACCUAUCAAGUGAUCACAAGGCGACGGAGUUGA